UGAGGCUGCUGGGCACAGGAAAGCCAGCCUUGGCCAACACCAGCACAGGCAGCUCAUAGGGCCCUUCUCCGCCACGGUGAAAGGAAGUCUGAUAUGCAUCAGCGGUGGGCAUGAGAAGUCAUUAGCCAACAUUUGAAGUCACUAGCCAACAUCUGGACUGGCAAAUUGAGAGGUAGUCAACUCAUUUUUAUUUAAACAAGGGAAUCCACAGGCUCAAGACUGCCCCUGCUGUCUGCAAGACAGCUUGAGGAAGCUUUCAGAAGCAAGACCAAAACCACUUUGCAUUGUUUCACAUUUGACUAGCUCCUGCAGCGAAAUCUACCUAUGCCUAGUGGGAGAAAAACAUUUUGAAACUGCUGAGGUCCUUGCCUGAGGGAAUUAUCCCAGGAGAACACAAUUUCAAACAAUGUGAUAUUGCUUAUGCAAGCUGAGACACAAAUAUUAAAACUAUUUUUCCAAAUAACAUACAAUUGGAACUUGAA
Coturnix japonica (Japanese quail) is the source of this 482-nucleotide non-coding RNA. Lineage: Eukaryota; Metazoa; Chordata; Aves; Galliformes; Phasianidae. The record is from RefSeq and is a predicted model, not a curated record.